Molecule: long non-coding RNA, 237 nt
Filed under: Lathyrus oleraceus (garden pea)
Lineage: Eukaryota; Viridiplantae; Streptophyta; Magnoliopsida; Fabales; Fabaceae
Description: Pisum sativum (pea) long non-coding RNA (PSAT_LNC031319)
Source: RNAcentral
AUAAUGAGUAAUUAAAUGUAAAUUACAAGGUAAUAACAUAAAAGUAAAUUACAAGAUAAAAAAUGACAAUAUCACAAUAAUAAUGGAUAAUGAUAAACAAAAUUAGUGAAGUAUAAUUAGUGGUUAGUAAUAUAUAAAAAAUAAACAUUUUUUAAGACUAUUUCCUAGGCCAAAAAGACUUAAAAUAUGACACAUUAAGGGAUAGUUUAUCAUUGAUGCAAAGUAUUGAAGAUGAUU